RNAcentral lists this ribosomal RNA (441 nucleotides) under uncultured bacterium. RNAcentral's name for it is "partial 16S ribosomal RNA". It matches the Rfam family "Bacterial small subunit ribosomal RNA", at positions 338 to 795 of the family's 1533-position model. The record is from RNAcentral.
CCUACGGGAGGCAGCAGUGGGGAAUAUUGCACAAUGGGGGAAACCCUGAUGCAGCGACGCCGCGUGAGUGAAGAAGUAUUUCGGUAUGUAAAGCUCUAUCAGCAGGGAAGAAGAAAGACGGUACCUGACUAAGAAGCCCCGGCUAACUACGUGCCAGCAGCCGCGGUAAUACGUAGGGGGCAAGCGUUAUCCGGAUUUACUGGGUGUAAAGGGAGCGUAGACGGCUGUGCAAGUCUGAAGUGAAAGCCCAGGGCUCAACCCUGGGACUGCUUUGGAAACUGUGGAGCUAGAGUGCUGGAGAGGUAAGUGGAAUUCCAGGUGUAGGAGUGAAAUCCGUAGAUAUCUGGAGGAACAUCAGUGGCGAAGGCGACUAUCUGGCACAUAACUGACGCUGAGGAGCGAAAGCGUGGGUAGCAAACAGGAUUAGAUACCCCGGUAGUC